This 218-nucleotide transfer RNA is filed under the name Marmota monax (woodchuck). RNAcentral describes it as "tRNA.Val". Lineage: Eukaryota; Metazoa; Chordata; Mammalia; Rodentia; Sciuridae. The record is from RNAcentral.
AUGAAUGUAGCUCAAUGGUAAAGCACUUGCCUAACAUGUGUGAGGCCCUGAGUCUAAUCUCCAGCACCAUCACACACACACACAAAAAAAAAAAAAAAAAGAAAGAAAGAAAGAAAGAAAGAAAAAAGGAGUAUCUGGGCCAGGGUCUGCGGACAUAACUCAAUGCUUGAGUACCUGCCUAGCAUGAAGCCCUGAGUUCAAUCCCCAGGACUAUUAUG